Molecule: non-coding RNA, 124 nt
Filed under: bovine gut metagenome
Description: FMN riboswitch (RFN element)
Rfam family: FMN riboswitch aptamer (RFN element)
About the family: The RFN element is a highly conserved domain that is found frequently in the 5'-untranslated regions of prokaryotic mRNAs that encode for flavin mononucleotide (FMN) biosynthesis and transport proteins.
Source: RNAcentral
GUCUUCGGGGCAGGGUGUAAAUCCCUACCGGCGGUAGAGUCCGCGAACCUGAUUCAUUUGAUAUGAUGAUGGCCGAUCCGGUGAGAUUCCGGAACCGACAGUUAAAGUCUGGAUGGAAGAAGAU